AAAAACAGAAACCUGCUACAAAACACAAGACAAACCGUUCAGUAUUGCUGAUGUUUUUACCCCACACUCUAAACACGUUUUUUGUUUUAAAUAAACAUUUGAAUUCGUUAUUAAUCAUUCUUCCUUGUUUUUGUAAAAAAACGUUGACAUUACUAAAUAUAAUUAGUUGUUUGAACUAUUCAGACGAAAUGUUGAAUGCAGAGUGAUUAUGUUAACUUUCUUACAGUUACAGUCAACAGAAAUAUUUAGAUACAAUAAACAACAUAUAUUUUGCACACAAAUACUAUAAACCUCACUCUUCUUCUUCUUCUUCUUCUUCUUCUUUCUUUUACAAAUUAACAGUUUAUGAAAGUUUUAAUAAAUAAAAUACACAAUAGUUUAUUGACUCACUUGUUGUAUUGGAGCUUUGCAUGUUCGAUGAUUCCAGAACUGAACUCUCUUCCCUGGACUUGGAGGAAAACCCUACUUCUCCCAGAGCACAGAAUAAACAAAAGCCUAUAUUACUAGAAAAAUGAUUCAUACUCAAAUAGAAUAUACUUUAUCUGAUAACUGGCAAGGGGGGAGUGCCAAUGUACAGGGGGCAUGUUUACUGGUCAAAUGAGUGCCAGUCAGUCAAGUCCGUCCCACAGUACACAGCAAAGCUGGAGAUGAUGUUAACCGAAACACUUGGAGAGGGUUUUGUGGUUUAGUUUGUGGUUUUUCGCUCAACAUUCAUCUCGACCCUACAGAGGGUUUGUGGUUAGAAGGAAAAUCACAGGUGGAAAGUAAAUUACCUACUGUACUAUUUAAUAUGUGGUUGUUAUUUCUGUUGUUACUACUGGAGGGCAGUAUGUGAUAAUUGAUAUAAAGAGCACAAUGAGAAAAGGACGCUGUGAAGUGAUGUAACAAUAUUUGUUGUUAUGAAAAUGUCAGCAGUAUUUAUUGAGAAACAGCCUCUUUAUUUGAGAAAUACAACAUCUGCCUCCACCCUAAACCUACUUCUUACUCAUAUCCCUUAAUCAUUCCUCCACCCUUACCCUAAUUUCGAUAAAACAAUUCUGGGAACUAAAGGCGCCUCGGAUAUCCUUUUGAUUACCCCAUUGAUAACUUAAAAAUGUAUUUUUUUUUAUAACUUAAUGUAUAACUUAAAAAUGUAUUUUAAGUGCCUCAAAGCUCUUUUUCUCAUAAUAGGAUUCAUUGAGGAACCAUAGUCUUUGCAGUUUGUGCAGGAGCUCCUUUCCUCAAAGAACCAACCGCUGCUCAAGAAAAUCCAGUAUACAUGAGUUCUCUUUAAAUCUCAACAGAGCAGCACUAUAGUGUCUGACUAUCCAGUUUGCCCUACCUGACUGUAGGCAUGAAGAUGGCAUGAAGAAGGAUGCUGCAAUGCGGUCUGCAACAAGAGUAGAGCACCUCAAAGCUGCCGAUUGGAUGACUAAUAGGAGGGGCGUUGACGUUGAUUGCUCGACGUCACAGCUUCUCCUGAAUGUGUGCCAAGUUAAAAGUGAAAGUAUAAACUGAAGGAGCGUAGGCGGAGCGUGUGUAAGGCCGGGGAAGCAUUAGCAGAUAUAGACCUACGUACAAUGUAAAUUAGAGAUUCAUUUUGCAGUGCAGACAGCUUUAGUGAUUAUAAGGACGUUUUUUUUGUUGAGAGAGAGAGAGAGAGCACUUAAACUCGCGAUAGAUCAAAGUUAUAAUGUCACUUUAUUUUCUAUUCGCCGUUUAAAUAGGCUAUCCGUGGAAAGUUCUAUAAUUAUCAAUUUCUAAUGUUUUAAUUAAAAACUGUAAUCACGUAAAAUACAAAUUCAGUUCCAUUAAACAUAUUUAUUAGCCUAUAUGACACCACUGUCUGGUUCUUGCCUAAAAAGACAUGGUGUUUGUAUUUAUUAAUAGAUUUGGCUGCUUUUAGCCUUCGCCCAUGGUAAUCGCGCGUUUGAGUUUAAUUUUUAAAAGGGGAAGCAAAUAUCAAUUAGUCAGUACUUUAAAAGGUCUAAGUUGGACAUUACAAUUUUACUGCAUCAAGAAACCAACAAUAACACUGCAGAUGAACCUCAGUCUCCUGCUAAUGAGCCUAGGCCACUGUCGCCAUCAAUGCACGGGGCGUCUGCUAAUGAACCAUAAGAGUCAGUGUCAAAGGAUUCUGGAACUCCACCAGCAGACCUGUCUGAUAUGGACGAGCCACCCAUGCAGCCAAAAUUGCAACGAUUUCCAGUUAUUAUACAAUACAAGGAAAACCACGAUGUUUUUCUUUGCGAUGGUAUGAGAGAUUCAGCUGAUUGGAAUACAGCACAGCCAGCGAUGCAGUUUUCUGUAUCCUGCAGGCAUUUCCCUGAGCUAUAAGCAAAAUGUACACAGGAUGGAUUUAAAGAGUUGAAUCAUCUAAGUAAAGCAUGUAAGAAGCACCAGGAUACCAAAGGACACCUGCGCUCACAAACGAAACUACCGCUUAUAGACAAAGAUAUUCCGUUGCGUGGUCACAGAGAAAGCGAGGAAGUAUUAAACCAGGGAAUUUUUUUGGAAUUGUUCCGUUUGCUUUCAAACUAUUAUACGAACAUUCAACCGCGCCUUGACCAGCUGCCUAAAAAUGCGACGAUGAUGAGCUCAGAUAUUCAGAAAGAUUUGCUGCGCAAGAUAAAAAGCGAGUUACAAAUUACACCAGGCAUGCCAUUAUGGCCACGGCCACCCCUGUAUAAACUCUGGCCACCCCUGUGGCCACCCCUAGGAUGAUUUGCAGUGGCCACUAUUAAUUUAAAUCUAUUUUAAAUCUAUUAAUUUUAGAUCUAUAUAAUUUAUAUGUCAUUUAAUAUAGUUACUAUCACACGAAGAGUGACGUUUUUCUCCAGAAGUCUGCAUAAUUGCAAAUGUGACAUUGAUUUCAUACAACAGUUCAAUAAACAAGAAGUUAAUAUCAAGAGUUUUACGUUUUAGACAACAUAUUCACUUUUUGCGCUCUAUUUCUAAAAACAAAAUCGUUCCAAACACAGCCACUGUUUUGCGUCUCUGAGCAACAUGAUAGUGUUUCGUUCCUGAAUGAAUCAACCGUUUAAAUGAUUCGGUUCAAUCGCAAUGACUCGCUUAUUAACAGUGACUCGCUGCCACCUACUGGCUGUUUUAAUUUCACAUUUAAGGUACCAUUUCAUUUUUUUAA
Molecule: long non-coding RNA, 3124 nt
Organism: Cyprinus carpio carpio
Lineage: Eukaryota; Metazoa; Chordata; Actinopteri; Cypriniformes; Cyprinidae
Source: Ensembl